GACGAACGCUGGCGGCGUGCUUAACACAUGCAAGUCGAGCGGUAAGGCCCUUUCGGGGGUACACGAGCGGCGAACGGGUGAGUAACACGUGGGUGACCUGCCCUCAGCUCUGGGAUAAGCCUGGGAAACCGGGUCUAAUACUGGAUAUGACUCCAUGACGCAUGUUGUGGGGUGAAAGCCUUGUGCGGCUGAGGAUGGGCCCGCGGCCUAUCAGCUUGUUGGUGGGGUGANGGCCUACCAAGGCGACGACGGGUAGCCGGCCUGAGAGGGCGACCGGCCACACUGGGACUGAGACACGGCCCAGACUCCUACGGGAGGCAGCAGUGGGGAAUCUUGCGCAAUGGGCGAAAGCCUGACGCAGCGACGCCGCGUGAGGGAUGACGGCCUCGGUU
This 392-nucleotide ribosomal RNA is filed under the name uncultured bacterium. RNAcentral describes it as "bacterial SSU rRNA". It matches the Rfam family "Bacterial small subunit ribosomal RNA", at positions 28 to 424 of the family's 1533-position model. The record is from RNAcentral.